This 301-nucleotide ribosomal RNA is filed under the name uncultured bacterium. RNAcentral's name for it is "partial 16S ribosomal RNA". It matches the Rfam family "Bacterial small subunit ribosomal RNA", at positions 509 to 809 of the family's 1533-position model. The record is from RNAcentral.
CAGUCGCCACGGGAAUACGUAGGGCGCAAGCGUUAUCCGGAAUUAUUGGGCGUAAAGAGCUCGUAGGCGGUUUGUCGCGUCUGCCGUGAAAGUCCGGGGCUCAACCCCGGAUCUGCGGUGGGUACGGGCAGACUAGAGUGAUGUAGGGGAGACUGGAAUUCCUGGUGUAGCGGUGGAAUGCGCAGAUAUCAGGAGGAACACCGAUGGCGAAGGCAGGUCUCUGGGCCAUUACUGACACUGAGAAGCGAAAGCAUGGGGAGCGAACAGGAUUAGAUACCCCGGUAGUCCCUGUCUCUUAUAU